AUACGUAGGUGACAAGCGUUAUCCGGAUUUACUGGGCGUAAAGGGCGCGUAGGCGGCCCGGUAAGUCUGGAGUGAAAGUCCUGUUUUUAAGAUGGGAAUUGCUUUGGAUACUGUCGGGCUUGAGUGCAGGAGAGGUAAGUGGAAUUCCCAGUGUAGCGGUGAAAUGCGUAGAGAUUGGGAGGAACACCAGUGGCGAAGGCGACUUACUGGACUGUAACUGACGCUGAGGCGCGAAAGUGUGGGGAGCAAACAGGAUUAGAUACCCUGGUAGUCCACACUGUAAACGAUGAAUGCUAGGUGUAGGGGGUAUCGACCCCUUCUGUGCCGCAGUCAACACAAUAAGCAUUCCGCCUGGGGAGUACGGCCGCAAGGUUGAAACUCAAAUGAAUUGACGGGG
Molecule: ribosomal RNA, 397 nt
Filed under: uncultured bacterium
Lineage: Bacteria
Description: partial 16S ribosomal RNA
Rfam family: Bacterial small subunit ribosomal RNA
Source: RNAcentral